CGGGUAGUCAUUUCUUUAAUAGCAAUCAAAAUGUUUCCACACGCAGAAAAGCUUUCACCUUUUAAAGAAUAUUUUCCUUUGCUAAUCUAGGUGACCAGCUAACCUUCAUCCUGGGGAAACCACUGGCGGUGGCAGGGACUGGCUGCAGGAGAAGCACGUUUGUGGGUGAGGGUCGGGCUGGGCAGCUCUUUGCAGAGGAGGCUUGAGCAUAAUCUUAUAAUACCAAUAAAUGAAAAAUAUGCAUUGAGGGAAUCAAUAUACUGAUGAGUUCCUAUGGAAUAUAUGCAUCACAGCUACUUAAAAGUUGGACAGUAAGAGCAGAAAUGUCAACUAAAGGACAUUAUUCAGUACGAAACAUCUGCACCAAGUUGUGGAAUCAUGCAGAUGGUGUUCAAACAAAUCAAGAAGCUGAAGCUAAAAAACCACCCUGAUGGAGAAACUCAU
Molecule: long non-coding RNA, 444 nt
Filed under: Corvus moneduloides (New Caledonian crow)
Lineage: Eukaryota; Metazoa; Chordata; Aves; Passeriformes; Corvidae
Description: lncRNA (ENSCMUG00000004508.2)
Source: RNAcentral